RNAcentral lists this ribosomal RNA (253 nucleotides) under uncultured bacterium. RNAcentral describes it as "partial 16S ribosomal RNA". It matches the Rfam family "Bacterial small subunit ribosomal RNA", at positions 524 to 776 of the family's 1533-position model. The record is from RNAcentral.
UACGUAGGCAGCAAGCGUUGUUCGGAGUUACUGGGCGUAAAGGGUGUGUAGGCGGUUGUCUAAGUUUGGUGUGAAAUCUCCCGGCUCAACUGGGAGGGUGCGCCGAAUACUGAAUGACUAGAGUGCGGGAGAGGAAAGUGGAAUUCCUGGUGUAGCGGUGAAAUGCGUAGAUAUCAGGAGGAACACCGGUGGUGUAGACGGCUUUCUGGACCGUAACUGACGCUGAGACACGAAAGCGUGGGUAGCAAACAGG